This is a long non-coding RNA of Stegostoma tigrinum, 691 nucleotides long. RefSeq lists it as uncharacterized. The transcript has 3 exons. The record is from RefSeq and is a predicted model, not a curated record. Lineage: Eukaryota; Metazoa; Chordata; Chondrichthyes; Orectolobiformes; Stegostomatidae.
GUGUAGAGGCUGGAAGGCGUUAGGGAGGGAGAGCGUGAGAGACGGGGUGCACAUUCCCUGAAGUGACGGUGAGGGAUUUAUUCCCUGCGUCUCUCUCUCUUUCUCUCUCUCUCUCUCUGAAAGGACAGUCUGGAAUGUGAGGCCUUCCUGGUGCUGGUGAGGGGAGCGACCUGAUUGCCACGGCAACCACAGCAGGCCUUCAGGAAGGCCCUUCGCCCAACAACCGCCAUCUGUUUGUGGAGAGCGAGUUGUUGGCCGGGGUCGAGCGGUUGAGUCUUACAGAGAGUGCGAGAGAGAAAGGGCACGAAGAAACGCCAAGCGAAACGUUCACCCAGCUUCAGUCUCCGGGGGGGGCAAGGAGACGCCUACAUUCCUGGGUUGGCGGCACCGCUGGGGUGAAAGGUCAUUCAGCGCCAACAUCGUUCGCCUGGGCCCGUUUCCUCGCCGGCCUCUCCGGCUCGCUGCAAUGUUCUUCACACUGAAGUAUGGAGAUGACAAGACGGCCCUGUUCAACCUGUACUGCCGGGUCCACGUGCUCAUGGAUCACAUCAGGGCCCACUGUAACUGUGGCCCUCAAGAGGAAGUUGAUCUCAGUGACGUGUCUGGGGAUGGUGAAAAAUUUGUCAAUGUUUCCGGCGCUGUAUGCAUCUGAGCUGCUCAAAGAGCGAGAGGUGCUGAUCCUAGUUAAAGU